GAUGAACGCUGGCGGCGUGCCUAAUACAUGCAAGUCGAGCGAACAGACGAGGAGCUUGCUCCUCUGACGUUAGCGGCGGACGGGUGAGUAACACGUGGAUAACCUACCUAUAAGACUGGGAUAACUUCGGGAAACCGGAGCUAAUACCGGAUAAUAUAUUGAACCGCAUGGUUCAAUAGUGAAAGACGGUUUUGCUGUCACUUAUAGAUGGAUCCGCGCCGCAUUAGCUAGUUGGUAAGGUAACGGCUUACCAAGGCAACGAUGCGUAGCCGACCUGAGAGGGUGGGUCGCCAACAGUAGAGAUGCACACGGGCCACACCCCCACGGGGGGGAGCAAGAGGGAAUUCUUCGGCAGAGGCGAAAAGCCGGCCGGGCAAGCCCGGGGGGGGUAAAAAAGUUUUAGGGAUCUAAAACCUUUUUUAUGGGGAAAAAAAAAGUGUAAAAGAACCUAGCCCUUUCUGCGGGGUACAAAAUAAAAAGCCCAGGGCAACCUCCGUC
Molecule: ribosomal RNA, 498 nt
Filed under: uncultured bacterium
Lineage: Bacteria
Description: partial 16S ribosomal RNA
Rfam family: Bacterial small subunit ribosomal RNA
Source: RNAcentral